Molecule: long non-coding RNA, 264 nt
Organism: Wasmannia auropunctata (little fire ant)
Lineage: Eukaryota; Metazoa; Arthropoda; Insecta; Hymenoptera; Formicidae
Exons: 2
Source: RefSeq, a predicted model, not a curated record
GUAUGUACCAUAUACUAUAUGCAACGAUCAAAAUUGGCUUUACUCAAAUUGCUGCAGGACAGUGCGCAGUAACGAGAAUUUCGUCGAGUUUCCCAAGUUAACGCGCAAAUUGUUAUUAACGUUGCAAAACAGUCUCGGCACUAGGAGAAGAAACGUAAUUUUAGACUCAAGUUUAUUCCCACGUAUCAAUCUUAAUCGGUAUGACCUUCUUUUUCAUGGAAAACAAAGACUUAAGUAUCUUAAUAAUAAAGUAAUGAUACUCAA